This 144-nucleotide long non-coding RNA is filed under the name Mustela putorius furo (domestic ferret). Its description in RNAcentral is "lncRNA (ENSMPUG00000025683.1)". Lineage: Eukaryota; Metazoa; Chordata; Mammalia; Carnivora; Mustelidae. The record is from RNAcentral.
GGCUCUGGGUCCUUCCUGGGCCCCACCCCUUUCCUGCCUCCCGUCGCCCCUCACAGUCCGGAGCCACAGUUGCCUUUUGAAGGAGAGGUUGCCAAGAAGGGAAAGGAAGAAAUGAAGGAACAAGCACAGUGAGCUAAAUCCUCC